This is a long non-coding RNA of Triticum aestivum (bread wheat), 600 nucleotides long. RefSeq lists it as uncharacterized. The transcript has 2 exons. The record is from RefSeq and is a predicted model, not a curated record. Lineage: Eukaryota; Viridiplantae; Streptophyta; Magnoliopsida; Poales; Poaceae.
GUGCAAAAAGAAGAAACGUCUACAACAGGACCCGAUAACGCGCGCACGUUCGGUACCACAGGGCGCCGGUCCGAACGACCCUGUUCGGAGUGGGACUCCCUCGAGCCGAACAAAAUUGUUCGGACAUGAUUCCUUAACCCCCGAACUACCACGUGGCGAAACCCCCCUCUUGGUCCACACGGCUUCUCCCCUCGACCCCCGAUCCAAAAACGCCCUGCGUCUCCCACCUCCACCCCCGGUCCCCACCAUAGUUCCCCUUCCCCUCCAUACCCUUAUUCAUGGAAUUUGCCAUGGCAAGAUCGGAGGAACCCUACAGAAACUAAGCUACUUGAAGUGAAAUCAGGAAGCUAAUGUAUCAAAAGGGAUUGAUGUAGAUGCUGUGUGGGAUUUGAGAAAAUUGCCAACCCUGUUAAAGGUACAAUGCCAUGAGUAUAUGAAACAGGAGGGGGAUGGCAAUCUGCUUCUUUACACUACAAAAAAUGCCAUCACUACGAAGUUUACACUAUGAAAAAGUUGCCGUGAAGUUUACACACAUAGAGAUACAAGAUGGAAAACAAAAGAAGAGGUUUACAAUACGAAACUUGCCAUCAUGGCAACAAU